RNA transcript from Nicrophorus vespilloides, 1699 nucleotides. RefSeq lists it as uncharacterized. The record is from RefSeq and is a predicted model, not a curated record. NCBI's taxonomy places the organism in Eukaryota, Metazoa, Arthropoda, Insecta, Coleoptera, Silphidae. The transcript is spliced from 6 exons.
GUGAAAUGGCAGCUAGAAAAUCGCUUGCAUUCCUACAAUCUGUGAUCGCUGUUACUAAAACUCACGAUGAAGUGGUCAAGGAGAAAUUUAAGCCUGGAAAGUACGUCUUCACCGUUGCCGCCAAUAUCAAAAUCGCGGCUGUGAUAAUCCUUCUCGCUUGUUUGGCGAUAACUAUUAGCUCGGAUUAUUGCGUGGAAAAUGUAAUUUAUCGAUAUCUCAUUGGAAUUGUAUCAGGGUUGACUUUAAUUAUAGUAUUCUGCCUGUACGUAAUCUUUAGUUCUGGUGUGGUCGUUCAAAGGACAACCACUUGGGUGAAAAUAGAUAUAAUCACCAAUUUGAUUUUAGCUCUGUUGACAAUAAUUUCAUGUUCUCUUUGUAUGAACAUGUGCUUGAUAAAUUCUACAAUUCGCAAGGUUCCAGGUCCUCUCGGUCUUACAGGUGGAGCUCUUUUGAUAAGUAGUUGCGCUGCUCUGUUUCUGUUAUACAGGUAUAGAGAAGACGAGGUGGUGGAAUCCCUACCAAGACCUAUGCAACCUCGAAAGUCAAUCUUUGCGUAGAUACAUCUUGCAGUAUUCUUGAUUAUAUUAGAUUACAUCGGUAGCGUAUUUAGCAUGUCUUUGUAUAUCGGGAACUGUGAAAGUGGGAUUAUUUAUGUUGCCAUUAGUCAGUCGAAUUAGAUUGAUGAUGUACAUCACAUUCCUGAGUAUUUUAGUUACAUGUUUAUUGUUGUUCCUCGAUAUUUCACAUAUGAUAUAUUUAUUCCCAUUUCCAUGGGGAAAUUGGUGAGCGUUACUCUUAAAUGCGAUUCUUGCUUGAAAAAGUAAAUAAUAUAGUCUGUCUGAAAUAAUUGAAGUAUGUAUCAACAGAAUCAUAUGUUCCUAUAUGAGUACUUUGAUCGAAUCUCAUCCCACUCAAAAUUUAAAAAAAUCCAAAAAGUGUGUCUUGGGUAUGCAUGUUGUGUAGAAUCACUAGUAUUAACGAUAAUCCAAAAGUGUUCACAAGAUCACUACCAGCCAGUGGCGGAGGACCCGAAUAUGAUCCUUCAGGAGCGCCACACGUCGCAUCUGAACUCGCCCAACCAUAAUCAGACGACACACAAUUACAAGCCAAUAAUCAAUUAUCGCAUAGUGAUUGGUGCCGGCAAUAAUAAAUAAAAAGACGCUUGGAAGAAACGAUUAUUUAUGUAUAAAAAGUAAUUUUGCAUGCUAAUAUUUUUAAAAAUUUUAUUUUGCUCAAUUAAUAUUUAGUUUAUUUUAAAACUGUACUAUACUGAAUCCACAUCGCAAAAUAGAUAUAAAAGGAAUCACAAACAACAACAAAAAUAUAUGCGGGAAUUCUUUAUGUUGUAUGGUAAUAUGUAAAUAAUUUUUUGAUUUGUUUAGAACCAGCUCCACUCUCCCCACAAUCAAAAAUCACAAAACACUCACUCACAUACCAAACCAUGUAAAACUUUUUAUGUAAACUCACACUCACCCGCAAAUUAACCCAAAUGUAACGCUUCCUUUUUUUCUUUUUUUUUAUUAAAUUGUAACUAUCGUAAUGCCGAAAGAGCUAAGGCUUACAGGGACAUGCACCUUUAAAUAAUUAACAUUGUAAUAUAUCUCAAUCCAAAUAAAUAAACUGAAAUACUACUACCCGGCCUCUUAUUCCCUGUCUUCUCUUCUGCUUCUUUUGUGUCUUGAUACUAUGUAAGGUUCUC